UGCGUAGGCGGUCCGUUAAGUCAGUGGUGAAAUCCAGCAGCUCAACUGCUGAACUGCCAUUGAUACUGGCGGACUUGAGUACGGACGAGGUAGGCGGAAUUUAUGGUGUAGCGGUGAAAUGCAUAGAUACCAUAAAGAACACCGAUAGCGAAGGCAGCUUACUAGACCGUAACUGACGCUCAGGCACGAAAGCGUGGGGAGCGAACAGGAUUAGAUACCCUGGUAGUCC
RNAcentral lists this ribosomal RNA (229 nucleotides) under uncultured bacterium. Its description in RNAcentral is "partial 16S ribosomal RNA". It matches the Rfam family "Bacterial small subunit ribosomal RNA", at positions 568 to 796 of the family's 1533-position model. The record is from RNAcentral.